GGAGGUUCUGUCACAGAGCUUGUCAAAGGCCUGCUGAAGUGUGGCCAACGGUUGGAUGAAUCUAUAAUCUCAUACAUCUUAUGUGGUGCUCUCUUGGGCCUUCAGCAUUUACACAAUAACCGGAUCAUUCAUCGUGAUGUGAAAGGGAACAACAUUCUCCUGACAACAGAAGGUGGAGUCAAGCUCGUUGACUUUGGUGUUUCAGCCCAGCUCACCAGCACACGGCUGCGUAGAAACACCUCCGUGGGAACACCCUUUUGGAUGGCACCUGAGGUCAUUGCUUGUGAACAACAGUAUGACUACUCAUACGAUGCGCGAUGUGACGUAUGGUCCUUGGGAAUAACAGCUAUUGAACUGGGGGAUGGAGAUCCUCCUUUAUUUGACAUGCAUCCGGUGAAAACCCUUUUUAAGAUUCCAAGGAAUCCUCCUCCUACUUUGCUACAUCCUGAAAAAUGGUGCAGAGGAUUCAACCAUUUCAUUUCACAGUGUCUUAUCAAGGAUUUUGAAAAGCGUCCUUCAGUCACCCAUCUUUUGGAGCAUCCAUUUAUUAAACAAGUACAUGGUAAAGAUAUGUCUCUGCAAAAGCAGCUGGCUGAGCUAAUCCAAGAACAGCAGCAACUAGGCUCCAUAGCCAAAACAAGGCAUGAACGAAUACAUACUAGAAGACCUUACCAUGUGGAUGGAGCUGACAGGUACUCUCUAGAUGACGAUCUGGUAAAUCUGGAAGUUCUAGAUGAGGAUACAAUUAUCCAUCAGCUGCAGAAACGCUAUGCUGACUUACAAAUUUAUACUUAUGUUGGAGACAUUUUAAUAGCCUUAAACCCCUUCCAGAAUCUCAGCAUUUAUUCUCCCCAGUUCUCCAAGCUUUACCAUGGUGUGAAGCGUUCAUCAAAUCCCCCCCACAUAUUUGCCUCUGCAGAUGCUGCCUACCAAAGUAUGGUUACCUUCAGCAAAGAUCAGUGCAUUAUCAUCAGUGGGGAAAGUGGUGCUGGAAAGACAGAAAGUGCCCAUCUGAUUGUCCAACAUUUGACCUUCUUGGGAAAGGCCAAUAACCGUGCUUUGCGUGAGAAAAUUCUUCAGGUGAAUCCUCUGGUUGAAGCAUUUGGGAAUGCCUGCACUGCCAUCAAUGACAACUCAAGUCGCUUCGGAAAAUACCUGGAAAUGAUGUUUACACCUACAGGAGCUGUAAUGGGGGCAAAGAUUUCUGAAUAUCUACUUGAAAAAUCAAGGGUCAUAAAACAGGCUGUGGGAGAAAAAAAUUUCCAUAUAUUUUAUUAUAUUUAUGCUGGCCUUUAUCACCAGAGGAAACUUUCUGAAUAUAGACUUCCCGAUAAAAAGCCUCCUAGAUAUAUUGAUAAUGAAACUGGAAGAGUCAUGCAUGAUAUUGUUACUAAAGAUUCCUAUGGAAGACAGUUUGAAGCAAUUCAGCAUUGUUUUAGAAUUAUAGGAUUCACUGACGAGGAAGUGUACUCAGUGUACAGAAUUCUGACUGGAAUCUUAAAUACUGGAAAUAUUGAGUUUGCUGCCAUUUCUUCACAACACCAAACAGAUAAAAGUGAGGUUCCCAACCCAGAAGCCUUAGAUAAUGCUGCUGCACUACUAAGUAUUGGGUCAGAAGAACUUCAAGAGGCCCUAACCUCCCAUUGUGUUGUAACACGAGGGGAGACUAUUAUCCGAACAAACACAGUGGACAAAGCAGCUGACGUGCGAGAUGCCAUGUCUAAAGCACUUUAUGGCCGGCUCUUCAGCUGGAUCGUAAAUCGUAUUAAUACGCUGCUUCAGCCAGAUAAAAAUAUAUGCAAUGCUGAAAAUGGGAUGAAUGUUGGAAUACUAGACAUAUUUGGAUUUGAGAACUUCGCAAGAAAUUCCUUUGAACAGCUGUGCAUAAAUAUUGCUAAUGAACAGAUCCAGUUUUAUUUCAAUCAACAUAUCUUUGCACUUGAGCAGAUGGAAUAUCAGAGUGAGGGAAUUGAUGCUGCUACAGUGGAGUAUGAGGACAACCGUCCACUUCUAGAUAUGUUCCUCCAGAAACCCAUGGGUCUCCUGUCUCUACUAGAUGAAGAAAGUCGAUUUCCUCAGGCAACAGACCUAACUUUAGUUGAUAAAUUUGAAGAUAACUUACGAUGCAAAUACUUUUGGAGACCAAAAGGAGUAGAACUGUCAUUUGGUAUUCAGCACUAUGCUGGAAAGGUUUUAUAUGAUGCCUGUGCAUUCCUUGAGAAGAACAGAGACACUCUUCCUGCUGAUGUAGUAGUGGUGUUGCGAACCUCAGAGAACAAACUUCUUCAGCAGCUGUUCUCUAGCCCAUUAACAAAAACAGGUAACUUGGCACAAGCAAGAGCCAGAGUGACAGCAGCAUCUAGGUCUUUGCCUCUACAGCUUAGUACUGGGCGUAUCAAGUCUCCUAAAUAUCUCCUGAAGGUUGACACAAUGGAAGUUAUGCGACACCCUGAGGAAACAACUAACAUGAAGCGGCAAACUAUGGCUUCUUAUUUUAGGUAUUCCCUCAUGGAUCUUUUAUCCAAAAUGGUUGUUGGACAGCCUCACUUUAUCCGCUGCAUUAAACCUAAUGAUGAUCGAGAAGCACUGAUGUUUUCUCAUGAGAGAGUUCUACUGCAGCUACAAUACACUGGAAUUCUGGAAACUGUCAAAAUACGUCAAAAAGGGUAUUCUCAUCGCAUCCUCUUUGAAGAGUUUGUGAAAAGGUAUUAUUACCUUGCAUUCAAGGCACACGAGACUCCCCUUGGUAGCAGAGAAAAUUGCCUUGCCAUUUUGGAGAAAUCUAAACUAGACAACUGGAUUCUUGGGAAAACCAAGGUUUUUCUAAAGUAUUAUCAUAUAGAGCAGUUAAACUUGUUCCUGCGAGAAGUUAUAGGGAGGGUGGUGGUCAUGCAAGCCUAUAUCAAGGGAUGGCUUGGAGCAAGGAGGUACAAGAAAGUCAAAGAGAAAAGAGAAAAUAGUGCUGUUACCAUACAGUCAGCCUGGAGAGGAUAUGAAGCUCGCAGGAAGUACAAGGAAAUAAGGAACAGAAGAACUGAUGCUGCUAUACAUAUUCAAGCAGCUUUCAGGGGAUACAUUGUUCGUAAAAACUACACAAGAUUGAAAACCAGCACUGCCUGUGUAGCAGAUCCUCAACUAACGAGCAGUUGCUUUACUUCUGAUUUUGGCUGUGAAGAGCACUGGCAGCAAACCAGUAACCUGUCUUUUCCUGACGUGCCUGAUUUUCUUCGCAAACAAACAAAAAAGAAGGAUUUGGAUGAGAUUUCUGCUUCUCCAUUUAUUCGAAAACAUUCGUUGGAAAUGAAUGAUUCACAAUCAAUUAGCCAACCCCAGUCAGUUGCAGACCAUCAGUUGUCAAGUCCCUUGAGAUCCCAUCAAAAAGGAGGUUCAGAAAACUGUCUUGAACAGAAGCUGAGAACACCUCGUCGACGAUGUCAGCAGCCCAAAAUGCUGAAUAGCCCUGAGGACAACAUGUACUAUAACCAGUUAAACGGAACUCUAGAAUAUCAAGGGAGCAAGAGGAAGCCAAGAAAACUUGGCCAAAUCAAAGUGCUGGAUGGAGACGAUGAGUAUUACAAAUCAUUGUCAGCCAUUGAAUCUGUCCCUGAAGAUGACAGCUUUCUCAGUUCCCCAUCUUCUUCAAGAGGUGUGUCUUUUGCUCAAAGCUGAACCUCACUUACUCUAUUGACCAAUACUGGUAAGAGUAUUUUCAUGCUGGUAAUCUCUUCCAAUUAACUUUGUGUGUGUGUGUUUAUAUAUAUAUUAAAUAUAUAUUAAAAAUACAUCUAUUAAAAAUACAGUUUCAGCUAGUAACUUUCUUUCACUAAUUUAUACCUUACUUCGCAGCUGUAAAUUGUCCCGUUUAGCUGUAUCUCUAUAAGCAAUUCCACUAAAGGGGAGGAGCACUACCUGCAUGUGUUGAUGUUGGUAACGGACACAUUUCUUUAGCAGCCAGGUUAGUUUAUACAGUUCCGACCCCUUCUUCCCUGCUCCCCCUGCCCCUGGCUGCUGUUCCCACCCUGUGCCAUCCCUUCUGUUGUGCUGGCACAACUGCUGGUAGAGCUGUGUGAAAAAUAAGAUCAAGGAAUUGAACUGGAUUAAAAGAACUCUGUACUAAAAAUUUGUGUUUGGAAUCAUAGUAAAAAUGUUUUUUAUUUCAGUAGACUGGUAUUAAACAUUAUCCUUUGUAAGUUUCUGUGCUGUGUAUGGCUUUUAACACUACAAAAACAUACAGAGUAAAAUAAUCUGAAAUAAUAAUUGUGUCUCAAUUUACCUUGUCAGUAUUUUUCUUAUAAAGUAUUAGUUUGCCAUAAAUUUAACUUGAAG
Long non-coding RNA from Bubo bubo (Eurasian eagle-owl), 4326 nucleotides. NCBI's taxonomy places the organism in Eukaryota, Metazoa, Chordata, Aves, Strigiformes, Strigidae. The record is from Ensembl.